GCCUGGGUGGCUCAGUUGGUUAAGCGUCUGACUUCUGCUCAGGUCAUGAUCUCACAGUUCAUAAGUUCGAGUCCCAUGUCAGGCU
RNAcentral lists this transfer RNA (85 nucleotides) under Felis catus (domestic cat). It matches the Rfam family "tRNA". Rfam says of the family: Transfer RNA (tRNA) molecules are approximately 80 nucleotides in length. Their secondary structure includes four short double-helical elements and three loops (D, anti-codon, and T loops). Further hydrogen bonds mediate the characteristic L-shaped molecular structure. tRNAs have two regions of fundamental functional importance: the anti-codon, which is responsible for specific mRNA codon recognition, and the 3' end, to which the tRNAs corresponding amino acid is attached (by aminoacyl-tRNA synthetases). tRNAs cope with the degeneracy of the genetic code in two manners: having more than one tRNA (with a specific anti-codon) for a particular amino acid; and 'wobble' base-pairing, i.e. permitting non-standard base-pairing at the 3rd anti-codon position. The record is from Rfam by way of RNAcentral. Lineage: Eukaryota; Metazoa; Chordata; Mammalia; Carnivora; Felidae.